Molecule: ribosomal RNA, 254 nt
Filed under: uncultured bacterium
Lineage: Bacteria
Description: partial 16S ribosomal RNA
Rfam family: Bacterial small subunit ribosomal RNA
Source: RNAcentral
UACGUAGGGACCAAGCGUUGUUCGGAUUUACUGGGCGUAAAGGGCUCGUAGGCGGCAAUUCAAGUCAUCUGUGAAAUCUCCGGGCUUAACUCGGAACGGUCAGGUGAUACUGCUUUGCUAGAGUGCGGAAGGGGCAAUCGGAAUUCUUGGUGUAGCGGUGAAAUGCGUAGAUAUCAAGAGGAACACCUGAGGUGAAGACGGGUUGCUGGGCCGACACUGACGCUGACAGCGCGAAAGCCAGGGGAGCAAACGGG